This 468-nucleotide ribosomal RNA is filed under the name uncultured bacterium. RNAcentral's name for it is "partial 16S ribosomal RNA". It matches the Rfam family "Bacterial small subunit ribosomal RNA", at positions 28 to 507 of the family's 1533-position model. The record is from RNAcentral.
GACGAACGCUGGCGGCGUGCUUAACACAUGCAAGUCGAACGGAAAGGCCCUGCUUUUGUGGGGUGCUCGAGUGGCGAACGGGUGAGUAACACGUGAGUAACCUGCCCUUGACUUUGGGAUAACUUCAGGAAACUGGGGCUAAUACCGGAUAGGAGCUCCUGCUGCAUGGUGGGGGUUGGAAAGUUUCGGCGGUUGGGGACGGACUCGCGGCUUAUCAGCUUGUUGGUGGGGUAGUGGCUUACCAAGGCUUUGACGGGUAGCCGGCCUGAGAGGGUGACCGGCCACAUUGGGACUGAGAUACGGCCCAGACUCCUACGGGAGGCAGCAGUGGGGAAUAUUGCACAAUGGGCGGAAGCCUGAUGCAGCAACGCCGCGUGCGGGAUGACGGCCUUCGGGUCGUAAACCGCUUUCGCCUGUGACGAAGCGUGAGUGACGGUAAUGGGUAAAGAAGCACCGGCUAACUACGUG